RNAcentral lists this ribosomal RNA (407 nucleotides) under uncultured bacterium. RNAcentral's name for it is "partial 16S ribosomal RNA". It matches the Rfam family "Bacterial small subunit ribosomal RNA", at positions 30 to 526 of the family's 1533-position model. The record is from RNAcentral.
AUUGAACGCUGGCGGCAGGCCUAACACAUGCAAGUCGAGCGGAGCGGCGGACGGGUGAGUAAUGCCUAGGAAUCUGCCUGGUAGUGGGGGAGAACGUCAGGAAACGGGCGCUAAUACCGCAUACUAUCAUCUGAGCCUAGGUCGGAUUAGCGAGAUGGUGGGGUAAAGGCCUACCAAGGCAACGAUCCGUAACUGGUCUGAGAGGAUGAUCAGCCAAACUGGAACUGAGACACGGCCCAGACUCCUACGGGAGGCAGCAGUGGGGAAUUUUGGACAAUGGGGGAAACCCUGAUCCAGCCAUCCCGCGUGUAUGAAGAAGGCCUUCGGGUUGUAAAGCACUUUUAGCAGGGAAGCGGUACCUGCAGAAUAAGCACCGGCUAACUACGUGCCAGCAGCCGCGGUAAUUC